GCGGGGAAAAGUAGCUUGCUACUUGACCUAGCGGCGGACGGGUGAGUAAUGCUUAGGAAUCUGCCUAUUAGUGGGGGACAACAUCUCGAAAGGGAUGCUAAUACCGCAUACGUCCUACGGGAGAAAGCAGGGGACCUUCGGGCCUUGCGCUAAUAGAUGAGCCUAAGUCGGAUUAGCUAGUUGGUGGGGUAAAGGCCUACCAAGGCGACGAUCUGUAGCGGGUCUGAGAGGAUGAUCCGCCACACUGGGACUGAGACACGGCCCAGACUCCUACGGGAGGCAGCAGUGGGGAAUAUUGGACAAUGGGGGGAACCCUGAUCCAGCCAUGCCGCGUGUGUGAAGAAGGCCUUUUGGUUGUAAAGCACUUUAAGCGAGGAGGAGGCUACCGAGAUUAAUACUCUUGGAUAGUGGACGUUACUCGCAGAAUAAGCACCGGCUAACUCUGUGCCAGCAGCCGCGGUAAUACAGAGGGUGCAAGCGUUAAUCGGAUUUACUGGGCGUAAAGCGCGCGUAGGUGGCCAAUUAAGUCAAAUGUGAAAUCCCCGAGCUUAACUUGGGAAUUGCAUUCGAUACUGGUUGGCUAGAGUAUGGGAGAGGAUGGUAGAAUUCCAGGUGUAGCGGUGAAAUGCGUAGAGAUCUGGAGGAAUACCGAUGGCGAAGGCAGCCAUCUGGCCUAAUACUGACACUGAGGUGCGAAAGCAUGGGGAGCAAACAGGAUUAGAUACCCUGGUAGUCCAUGCCGUAAACGAUGUCUACUAGCCGUUGGGGCCUUUGAGGCUUUAGUGGCGCAGCUAACGCGAUAAGUAGACCGCCUGGGGAGUACGGUCGCAAGACUAAAACUCAAAUGAAUUGAC
This 854-nucleotide ribosomal RNA is filed under the name Acinetobacter lwoffii. RNAcentral describes it as "bacterial SSU rRNA". It matches the Rfam family "Bacterial small subunit ribosomal RNA", at positions 66 to 914 of the family's 1533-position model. The record is from RNAcentral. Lineage: Bacteria; Pseudomonadati; Pseudomonadota; Gammaproteobacteria; Moraxellales; Moraxellaceae.